Molecule: ribosomal RNA, 246 nt
Filed under: uncultured bacterium
Lineage: Bacteria
Description: partial 16S ribosomal RNA
Rfam family: Bacterial small subunit ribosomal RNA
Source: RNAcentral
AUACGGAGGAUGCGAGCGUUAUCCGGAAUUAUUGGGCGUAAAGAGUGCGUAGGUGGUUUUGUAAGCGCGGGGUGAAAGGCUAUGGCUCAACCAUAGUAAGCCUUGCGAACUGUGAGACUUGAGUGCAGGAGAGGAAAGUGGAAUUCCUAGUGUAGCGGUGAAAUGCGUAGAUAUUAGGAGGAACACCAGUGGCGAAGGCGACUUUCUGGACUGUAACUGACACUGAGGCACGAAAGCGUGGGGAGC